RNAcentral lists this ribosomal RNA (458 nucleotides) under uncultured bacterium. Its description in RNAcentral is "partial 16S ribosomal RNA". It matches the Rfam family "Bacterial small subunit ribosomal RNA", at positions 338 to 795 of the family's 1533-position model. The record is from RNAcentral.
CCUACGGGAGGCAGCAGUGAGGAAUAUUGGUCAAUGGGCGAGAGCCUGAACCAGCCAAGUCGCGUGAGGGAGUACUGCCCUAUGGGUUGUAAACCUCUUUUGUCGGGGAGCAAAAGCCGGACGUGUCCGGCUGUGAGAGUACCCGCAGAAAAAGCAUCGGCUAACUCCGUGCCAGCAGCCGCGGUAAUACGGAGGAUGCGAGCGUUAUCCGGAUUUAUUGGGUUUAAAGGGUGCGCAGGCGGAUUUUUAAGUCAGCGGUAAAAUCGUGGGGCUCAACCCCAUCCAGCCGUUGAAACUGGGGAUCUAGAGUGUGCGAGAGGUAUGCGGAAUGCGUGGUGAAGCGGUGAAAUGCAUAGAUAUCACGCAGAACCCCGAUUGCGAAGGCAGCAUACCGGUGCACAACUGACGCUCAGGCACGAAAGCGUGGGUAUCGAACAGGAUUAGAUACCCUGGUAGUC